This 72-nucleotide transfer RNA is filed under the name Lentinus tigrinus ALCF2SS1-7. Its description in RNAcentral is "tRNA-Glu". It matches the Rfam family "tRNA". From Rfam's summary of the family: Transfer RNA (tRNA) molecules are approximately 80 nucleotides in length. Their secondary structure includes four short double-helical elements and three loops (D, anti-codon, and T loops). The record is from RNAcentral. RNAcentral also lists the same sequence under 1 other name. Lineage: Eukaryota; Fungi; Basidiomycota; Agaricomycetes; Polyporales; Polyporaceae.
UCCGAUAUGGUGUAGUGGCUAACAUUAUCGCCUCUCACGCGAUAGCCCGGGGUUCGAUUCUCCGUGUCGGAA